RNAcentral lists this ribosomal RNA (469 nucleotides) under uncultured bacterium. RNAcentral's name for it is "partial 16S ribosomal RNA". It matches the Rfam family "Bacterial small subunit ribosomal RNA", at positions 28 to 508 of the family's 1533-position model. The record is from RNAcentral.
GACGAACGCUGGCGGCGUGCUUAACACAUGCAAGUCGAACGGAAAGGCCCUGCUUUUGUGGGGUGCUCGAGUGGCGAACGGGUGAGUAACACGUGAGUAACCUGCCCUUGACUUUGGGAUAACUUCAGGAAACUGGGGCUAAUACCGGAUAGGAGCUCCUGCUGCAUGGUGGGGGUUGGAAAGUUUCGGCGGUUGGGGAUGGACUCGCGGCUUAUCAGCUUGUUGGUGGGGUAGUGGCUUACCAAGGCUUUGACGGGUAGCCGGCCUGAGAGGGUGACCGGCCACAAUGGGACUGAGAUACGGCCCAGACUCCUACGGGAGGAAGCAGUGGGGAAUAUUGCACAAGGGGCGGAAGCCUGAUGCAGCAACGCCGCGGGCGGGAUGACGGCCUUCGGGUUGUAAACCGCUUUCGCCUGUGACGAAGCGUGAGUGACGGUAAGGGGGAAAGAAGCACCGGCGAACUACGGGC